GGUGGAUGCCCUGGCAGUCAGAGGCGAUGAAGGGCGUGCUAAUCUGCGAUAAGCGCCGGUAAGGUGAUAUGAACCGUUAUAACCGGCGAUACCCGAAUGGGGAAACCCAGUGUGAUUCGUCACACUAUCAUUAACUGAAUCCAUAGGUUAAUGAGGCGAACCGGGGGAACUGAAACAUCUAAGUACCCCGAGGAAAAGAAAUCAACCGAGAUUCCCCCAGUAGCGGCGAGCGAACGGGGAGGAGCCCAGAGCCUGAAUCAGCAUGUGUGUUAGUGGAAGCGUCUGGAAAGGCGCGCGAUACAGGGUGACAGCCCCGUACACAAAAGCGCAUGUGCUGUGAGCUCGAUGAGUAGGGCGGGACACGUGGUAUCCUGUCUGAAUAUGGGGGGACCAUCCUCCAAGGCUAAAUACUCCUGACUGACCGAUAGUGAACCAGUACCGUGAGGGAAAGGCGAAAAGAACCCCGGCGAGGGGAGUGAAAAAGAACCUGAAACCGUGUACGUACAAGCAGUGGGAGCACAGGUUUACC
RNAcentral lists this ribosomal RNA (529 nucleotides) under Salmonella enterica subsp. enterica serovar Litchfield. Its description in RNAcentral is "partial 23S ribosomal RNA". It matches the Rfam family "Bacterial large subunit ribosomal RNA", at positions 23 to 589 of the family's 2925-position model. Lineage: Bacteria; Pseudomonadati; Pseudomonadota; Gammaproteobacteria; Enterobacterales; Enterobacteriaceae. The record is from RNAcentral.